This 253-nucleotide ribosomal RNA is filed under the name uncultured bacterium. RNAcentral's name for it is "partial 16S ribosomal RNA". It matches the Rfam family "Bacterial small subunit ribosomal RNA", at positions 524 to 776 of the family's 1533-position model. The record is from RNAcentral.
UACGUAGGGACCAAGCGUUGUUCGGAUUUACUGGGCGUAAAGGGCGCGUAGGCGGCAAUUCAAGUCAUCUGUGAAAUCUCCGGGCUUAACUCGGAACGGUCAGAUGAUACUGCUUUGCUAGAGUGCAGAAGGGGCAAUCGGAGUUCUCGGUGUAGCGGUGAAAUGCGUAGAUAUCGAGAGGAACACCAGAGGUGAAGACGGGUUGCUGGGCUGACACUGACGCUGAGGCGCGAAAGCCAGGGAAGCAAACGGG